This 1714-nucleotide long non-coding RNA is filed under the name Mus musculus (house mouse). RNAcentral describes it as "long non-coding RNA chr4:101069597-101071311". The record is from RNAcentral. Lineage: Eukaryota; Metazoa; Chordata; Mammalia; Rodentia; Muridae.
GCGGUGUUGAAGGUGAAGGCGCGUGGUGGGGAGCUGAGGAGCUCAGAUUUAGGGGGCUGGCUUCCGGAGCCCCUCGAGAAGGGAAGGGGUCCCGCGUAGGGUGUUGGGGACUUGGAUUGCCACGGGGGCGGGGUCACGGGAAAGCUGGGCGAGUUCUUCUGCAGAAGCACUUGACCAAGUUUGUAUGAAACAACUUUGCUCCGCUUGUUAAGGCCGCAGAGAGCAGAGGCUGAUACUGCGCCGGCAGUCUUGCAGCCUUCUGCCAAACCAAGUAUGGCAGGAUUUGUUUCUGUGCUUGCGCGGAGUUUAAAGCUAAGCAGCUCGCAGUCUUUAAUCCAGAUUAACUGUUGCUUCUUGGAUUAGAAAGCCCGAGUCGACUUAACUUCUUUUUUUUUUUUUCCCUGAUUGCGAAAGUUAAAAUCUUAUUGUAGGAGCGCUAGAGAAUUUGAAGGAUUUUCUCGGGAUUCAUAUUCAUUCAUUCUCAUUCAUAGCCCUCCCCAUUUUUUUCUCUCUGUUUUUCCCUCUUUUCCUCUCCUUUCUUUCUUUGAGACAGCGUGCCAAGUAUCCCCAGGCAGGCCUUGAAUUUCUGAUCCUCCUUUCUCCACCUACCAUGUGCUAGGAUUUCAGGUGUGUACCACAGGCUCGGCGCAACAGUCCUGCAUGCAUGAGAGAGUGUGUGUUUAUUACUCCCAAGACUUCAUGAAUGCAUGCAACACUCUACCAACUGAACUAUAACCAUGUUGUCUUUCUUCCUUUUCUUGUGCACAAGUAUGCACAUGCAUUUGUUUUUGUUUUUUAUCAAAAACAUGAAACAAUGUAGCAUUCUUUAGGUUUCCUACAGUUUUCCUGAAGAUGCUUGUACGUUGCAUGUAUAGGUAUUUGGUGUAAACUAGAUCUGCCUUGAUAGGUCGGACCACGGAAGGAAUUUCAUAAACCCACCCUAUUCUGUUAUGAAAUUCCUCAUACAGAGUUCAUACAGAGUUGCAAGAGGACUGGUUAGUGACAGUUGCAUGUUCUCUGUGACUUAUAGAAUAUGAUAAUGCCUACCUCAUUACCAUUGGUAGACUUUCUGUAGAUAUAAUAAACAUAAGCCUACAACCUCAUAAGGUAUUUAGGUGGUGGCAUCUCACCAUUCAACUUAAGAGGUGCCACAGAGCCUACUUCCCUCUGUCAGGUGGUGGUUUUGGGUUGCCACCUGAAGGUCCUCUACACUGGAAAAACAGCCUUCCUGCUCCUGAAUGGGGAAGGUCUCCGUGGAGCUCAGGGAGAGGGGGGCUUGGGAGAAGCAGAUGGCAUCUACAGAACAAAUUAAAGAACUAUGGACUCUGUGAUAGACAAGCUAGCAGAAGAUGGAGAAGUGUCUGGAUUUCCUCUGCAGAAUGUCAGCUAUUUCUGUUGUAACAUUCCCCUUCCUGAAGUCUAAAAACACUUAAUGCAAAUUCAAGGCUGUUCUGUGUGUUCUUGCUUCACUGUUAGCUUUUGCAUUUCUGUUCCCAAAAGAGGUGGAAAAGAAACCCAAGGGUCUGAGGAACUAUUUCAAUCCUACCUCAUCUAAAUGCUGACAGAAGGUUUUUAGACACUCACAUCUGCGAUUGUUUGGGGGUAGGGACAUUUUUCCCCCUCGGUUUUAAACUUACAGCUACUCUAAAUCUCAGGAUUUUUUCUGUAAAAAGUAGCUAGUUUAUUUGCAUAAAUGAGCGAAUAAAAUUGAUUU